ACAGGACAUCUGGCUGGUCACAUAAAUUUUUGACCACAAUAUAAAUUGAUAAUCAUUAAAACAUCUGUUUAAAAACCAUAAAUGUCCUAUUGGGUAUAAGGUGUUAAAUAAACAUGUCGUGGUGUGUCUGUCAAUUUAUUUUUCUAUAUUCUUAACCUCAUUUGUGUUGUGGAUUAUGUUUUGUCUCUGAGUUUACAGUCCUACCAACUUUGGGUAAUAUUUUUGUCUCAAGUGAUGUUAUAUUAAUUUUAACCUUAUCAGUUAGCAAAAUAAUUUUAAAUUAUGUGUUGAUCUGUGUUUAAAUUCUUUACCAAACUUUAUCAUUUACAAAUUUUAACUUAACUUAUAACAGUGUGACAGUUUUUGCCUAGUAGGGAAGUUUUUCAGAGAAGAGAAUUCACUCCUUUCUUUACUCUAGACUCUACAUUGUUUUACUGGAUGUUGCAGUAAGUCUCUAGCACUGAAGAAUUACAACGGGUUAUUCACAGAUAAUUGCUCCUGGAGGCGGAGUAGCAUGGCUUUCCACUGACUGACUUAAGAAGACAGGGCCAUAUCAGUGUGAAGGAUAAGAUGAUGGAGAAUCAUACAGGCAGCAUGUGGACCGACUGUUGCACAGAAAAGAGAUGACCAUCCCACAACAAGGACAACAGAGUACCAGCAGGCACUCUGCUGUGACAGAGCCCAGAAGCUUUAGGAAGAGGACUGCCAACAAGCAGACUGGCAUUCAUCAGGGGCCAACGAUGAUGAACACUGUGGGACGGACAAGCAAGGGAACCAGAAUGAGCAGCUGCCACCAAUGCUAGAUGAAGAAGAGACAGGUCUAGUUGUGAGUUCAGGAUCAAGUCCAUUCGGAGGAUUUGCUCAACAGGAUCCGGCAGGGGAGUUCAGUGUAGGAAGAGAACAUUUCAUAGACGUGUGAUACAGCAGCCAGCUAGAUUCAAGGACUAUGUUUUCGAAUAACUUAAGUGGGAGGAGAUGUUGUGUACUGUUGUAGCAUUGUAUGUGUAAAUAUUGUUAGAUGGUUAUCAGGCCUGUUUUUGUUGUGAGCUGAGCAGUUGUUAUGAACAUAGACUGGUGGGAACUAGGACAAUGUAAAUGAUGUGAAUGAUGAGCAGUUUGGUAGUAAUGUAUGUGGGAGGAGGUGAAAUAUAACAAUAUGCGUUAUACGUACUUCUAAUUGUUGUGCUUACACUGGAAUUUGCACAAAUUCAUUAGGGGUUAUUUGCACUCUUGUUAAGCUAUACUGCAUUAUUAUAUAUCCAAAUAAAUAUGUACUAAGUUGUGGCUCAAA
Long non-coding RNA from Bacillus rossius redtenbacheri, 1291 nucleotides. RefSeq lists it as uncharacterized. The transcript is spliced from 2 exons. The record is from RefSeq and is a predicted model, not a curated record. NCBI's taxonomy places the organism in Eukaryota, Metazoa, Arthropoda, Insecta, Phasmatodea, Bacillidae.